RNAcentral lists this ribosomal RNA (104 nucleotides) under uncultured Alphaproteobacteria bacterium. RNAcentral describes it as "partial 16S ribosomal RNA". It matches the Rfam family "Bacterial small subunit ribosomal RNA", at positions 400 to 522 of the family's 1533-position model. The record is from RNAcentral. Lineage: Bacteria; Pseudomonadati; Pseudomonadota; Alphaproteobacteria.
CGUGAGUGAGAAGGCCUUUGGGUUGUAAAGCUCUUUCGUCGGGGAAGAAAAUGACUGGACCCGUACAAGAAGGCCCGGCCAACUCCGUGCCAGCAACCGCCGGA